AUUGAACGCUAGCGACAAGCCUAACACAUGCAAGUCGAGCGGCAUCGAAAAAAAAUCAAUUUGAUUUUUUUGUCGGCAAGCGGCGUACGGGUGAGUAAUAUCUGGGGAUCUACCCAAUGGAGGGGGACAACCAUUGGAAACGAUGGCUAAUACCGCAUAAUGUCUUUUUGACCAAAAUGGGGGACCAAUAAAAUAAUUGGCCUCAUGCCAUAGGAUGAACCCAGACGAGAUUAGCUAGUAGGUGAGGUAAAAGCUUACCUAGGCUACGAUCUCUAGCUGGUCUGAGAGGACGAUCAGCCACACUGGAACUGAAACACGGUCCAGACUCCUACGGGAGGCAGCAGUGGGGAAUAUUGCACAAUGGGGGAAACCCUGAUGCAGCUAUGUCGCGUGUGUGAAGAAGGCCUUAGGGUUGUAAAGCACUUUCAGUAGGGAAGAAGAUAAAUAUAGUGAAUAACUUAUUUAUUUGACGUUACUUACAGAAGAAGUACUGGCUAACUCCGUGCCAGCAGCCGCGGUAAUACGGGGGGUGCGAGCGUUAAUCGGAAUUACUGGGCGUAAAGCGUACGUAGGCCGUUUACUAAGUCAAAUGUGAAAUCCUUAGGCUUAACCUAAGAACUGCAUAUGAAACUAGUUAACUAGAGUUUUGUAGAGGGGAGUAGAAUUCCAGGUGUAGCGGUGAAAUGCGUAGAUAUCUGGAGGAAUACCAGUGGCGAAGGCGACUCCCUGGACAAAAACUGACGCUUAGGUACGAAAGCGUGGGGAGCAAACAGGAUUAGAUACCCUGGUAGUCCAUGCUGUAAACGAUGUUGAUUUGAAGGUUGUAGUUUUUUCUAUGGCUUUCGUAGCUAACGCGUUAAAUCAACCGCCUGGGGAAUACGACCGCAAGGUUAAAACUCAAAUGAAUUGACGGGGGCCCGCACAAGCGGUGGAGCAUGUGGUUUAAUUCGAUGCAACGCGAAAAACCUUACCUACUCUUGACAUCCAGAGUACUUAGCAGAGAUGCUUAGGUGCCUUCGGGAACUCUGAGACAGGUGCUGCAUGGCUGUCGUCAGCUCGUGUUGUGAAAUGUUGGGUUAAGUCCCGCAACGAGCGCAACCCUUAUCCUUUGUUGCCAUCGGAUUAGGACGGGAACUCAAAGGAAACUGCCAGUGAUAAACUGGAGGAAGGUGGGGACGACGUCAAGUCAUCAUGGCCCUUACGAGUAGGGCUACACACGUGCUACAAUGGUGUACACAAAGAGAUGCGAUCUUGCAAAAGUUAGCUAACCUCAAAAAAUACAUCUUAGUCCGGAUUGGAGUCUGCAACUCGACUCCAUGAAGUCGGAAUCGCUAGUAAUCGUGAAUCAGCAUGUCACGGUGAAUACGUUCCCGGGCCUUGUACACACCGCCCGUCACACCAUGGAAGUGGGUUGCAAAAGAAGUAAGUAGUUUAACCAAAUUUUGGAGGGCACUUACCACUUUGUGGUCCAUAACUGGGGUGAAGUCGUAACAAGGUAACCGUAGGGGAACCUGC
RNAcentral lists this ribosomal RNA (1515 nucleotides) under uncultured bacterium. RNAcentral's name for it is "bacterial SSU rRNA". It matches the Rfam family "Bacterial small subunit ribosomal RNA". The record is from RNAcentral.